This 555-nucleotide non-coding RNA is filed under the name Bottegoa insignis. RNAcentral describes it as "partial transfer RNA-Leu". The stretch from base 1 to 479 matches the Rfam family "Group I catalytic intron", at positions 41 to 253 of the family's 253-position model. From Rfam's summary of the family: Group I catalytic introns are large self-splicing ribozymes. The record is from RNAcentral. Lineage: Eukaryota; Viridiplantae; Streptophyta; Magnoliopsida; Sapindales; Rutaceae.
GUGAUAACUUUCAAAUUCAGAGAAACCCGGGAAUUAAAAAAUGGGCAAUCCUGAGCCAAAUCCAGUUUUACAAGAACAAACAAAGGUUCAGAAAGCGAAAAAAGGGAUAGGUGCAGAGACUCAAUGGAAGCUGUUCUAACAAAUGGAGUUGACUACCCUUUUUUGGUAAAGAAAGUAAAAUGAAUCCUUCUAUCGAAUAUCGAAACUCCAUAGAAUAUCGAAACUCCAUAAAGGAUAAGUGUAUAUACACCAUGUAUACACAAUGAAAAACUAUCUCAAAAAUAACAACCGAAUCCAUAUUUUUUUUUAUGAAAAAGAAAAGAAUUCUUAUGAAUCGAUUCUACGUUGAAGAAGGAAUCGAAUAUUCAUUGAUCAAAUCAUUCACUCCAUAAUCUGAUCGAUCUUUUCUUUUGACUUUUGAAGAACUGAUUAAUCGGACGAGAAUAAAGAUAGAGUCCCAUUCUACAUGUCAAUAUCAAUACGGGCAACAAUGAAAUUUAUAGUAAGAGGAAAAUCCGUCGACUUUCGAAAUCGUGAGGGUUCAAGUCCCUCCUA